CAGCUAUCAAGAGCAGGCGAGUGAUACAGCACUUUGACCCUGCACCAACCGGCGGUAAAUUUAACAAUUUGCAGUGUACGGUGGUAAUUCUGUACAGAUAGUCG
Molecule: non-coding RNA, 104 nt
Filed under: Leuconostoc pseudomesenteroides
Lineage: Bacteria; Bacillati; Bacillota; Bacilli; Lactobacillales; Lactobacillaceae
Description: SAM-I sequence
Rfam family: SAM riboswitch aptamer (S box leader)
About the family: The SAM riboswitch is found upstream of a number of genes which code for proteins involved in methionine or cysteine biosynthesis in Gram-positive bacteria. The SAM riboswitch acts at the level of transcription termination control.
Source: RNAcentral